CGCGGCUCGGGCUGCUGCGUACACCUGUUCUCGCCGUCUCACCUGCUACCCUACAGAUGCUCCCCCGCAGCUGGGUGUAUGGCGACUCGGGUCAUGCUGGGCCGUGUUAGAGGACACCAAUUCUCACAAUUCUCGGCGCAGGAAAAAAAAAAAAGACUCCCCUCUCCCCUUCUACCUUCCCCAACUCCGAUAAGGCGGAAGUCGGAUCGUAUGUGCUGACGUCACGCGCCGUCGGCAAAAGUAAGCCGCGCCAUGUCCCGCAAGAGAGCGCGGGAGGCCGACCCCGACGACGACCACUGGGACGAAGAGCUGCACGACCCCGCCGCUGGGCAGCAGUUCUGUCCCCUGUCACAGGUACG
Molecule: long non-coding RNA, 359 nt
Filed under: Penaeus monodon (black tiger shrimp)
Lineage: Eukaryota; Metazoa; Arthropoda; Malacostraca; Decapoda; Penaeidae
Description: uncharacterized LOC119592687, transcript variant X1
Source: RNAcentral